GGUGGGACAGUACGCAUUGUUGGCCUCUGGAGUCAGAGUGAAGCUCCAGCCUCUCCCUGCCCUCCUCCACCCUCGCCUCUUAAGGGAAAACAAUGUUAAUUUCUGAGGACUUUGCUGGGCCAGAGUGUUGAGGCUGACGGCAGAACUUCUGGUGGGAAGUCGCAAAAGCCCAGGUGACCUGACAGAAUAGCCAGAGGCUGGUCCCAGGAAGAUGAAGCCCAGUUUGAGCUAAAGAUGGCUGGAAGUAACAAAGCCUCUUCAAGUGGAGGUAGCAGUGAGGUUAAUGAAGCCAGCUUCAUUCCACUCCCUAAUCACAUUCCCAGCUGAGGAUAAACAGCAACAUGGAACUCAGAAAAGAACAGAGAAAUCUACAGCAGCAUUGUUCCAAAUGGAGUCUGCAUAGAGGAGUGGGUCUGAGAACUGCCUAUUACUGGUUCAUGGAAAGAUAAGCACAGGGAUAAAGAGAAAGAAAUUAUAAUGUUUAGAAA
Chinchilla lanigera (long-tailed chinchilla) is the source of this 488-nucleotide long non-coding RNA. RefSeq lists it as uncharacterized. NCBI's taxonomy places the organism in Eukaryota, Metazoa, Chordata, Mammalia, Rodentia, Chinchillidae. The record is from RefSeq and is a predicted model, not a curated record. The transcript is spliced from 3 exons.